GGAAACUGAGGUGGGAGGUGGCACGUUACCGUGAACUCUGUCCUCCACUGCCUCACACUCCUGAGGCCAAGAGCAGACCCCAGGGCAGGGGCUGGCUUAGCCUGGCUCCCACAGGCCACUAGAGAGACAGCUGUGGCCUGGAGAAGCUCUUAGCCUCUUUGGGCUCCCAGGUAUUAAGGGGAUAAAAUCGCAAUCACGGCACCAAUUAGUAGUGGGCUUAGACAUUGCUCUGUGAACUCGUCUCACACUUCAAUGAAACCAGGCCUGUCCCUCUGCAGUAAUUGGGCCGUUGCUUUGCCCACAUUCUCCAGGGCUCUUGCUCCCUCAGAGGAGAAGCCCCAGUCCUCUCAACCACCUCCAAGAUCUGAUCCCAGACCUCUCUGCAUCCUGCUCUGGUCACACCAGCCACUCGCUCUCUCUUUCCUUCCCUUUCUCCCUCCUGUCUUUUUCAUAAAAUAUAUUAUUACCAUCCAGAUACAUCUGGUUUUCCAGCCAAGAUUUCCAUGUAUCUACAUUUUUUUCUCUUCUUAUUUUCUGUUCUCUGCCAACCUUUUUCAAGAAAGAGAUUAUCAAGUCUCUUCACUCACAUGUAAGUAGGCUUUUCUUCCUCUUGACCAGAACUGCCUUAUACAGUUUACAAUCACAUUAUAUUAAAUAUAUUGUACUUUUGCUAUGUUCUUUUUUCUUGGUCGCACAUGAAUAUAGGUGUCAAUCGAAGACCUCACUAGUGACAUAAAAUCCAGAAGUGGUAUCCUCUGUCUGCUUGGUACUGAUUUCCCCGUCUCAUUUACUCAUUAACUUGGUCACCCUUUAUGAAGUCCCGUAUGUCUUGGACUUUGUUCGAGAACAAAAACUAUUUACUCCCAAGCAGAGAGCCCAACCAAUCCUUCAUGGUGAGACGUGCUAUGGAACCGCCACAUGCAGUGACCAGCACUCCAUGCCAAAAGAGCUCCCUGCCCAGCACUUGCCCACAGAACCAGGCACUGAGCUUGUCUAAAAUCAUAGGGAGAAACGAAAACACUUCAAGAUCAUAGAAAACCAUGCUAAAAAUCAGCUGCAGAAGAAACACCAAGAAGAGGCCAUCCCAACACUGAGAGAUAUUCCUAAGAGAGACUGAAACCAGAGGUUCUUUCUUGUAGCUGGACACUGACACUGAAUUAUAUGUGACUGUACU
This is a long non-coding RNA of Fukomys damarensis (Damara mole-rat), 1174 nucleotides long. RefSeq lists it as uncharacterized. The record is from RefSeq and is a predicted model, not a curated record. NCBI's taxonomy places the organism in Eukaryota, Metazoa, Chordata, Mammalia, Rodentia, Bathyergidae. The transcript is spliced from 3 exons.